AGGACGAACGCUGGCGGCGUGCUUAAUGAAUGCGAGUCGAACGAGAACCAGUGGAGUGCUUGCACAAAGCUGGGGACAGUGGCGAACGGGUGAGUAACACGUGGGUAACCUGCCCUGUAGUCGGGCACAACAGUUGGAAACGACUGCUAAUUCCCGAUAGUCUGCAGUAGCGUUGGCUACUGUAGUAAAGGUUUUUCCGCUACAGGAUGGGCCCGCGGGCCAUUAGCUUGUUGGUGGGGUAACGGCCUACCAAGGCGACGAUGGCUAGCCGGUCUGAGAGGAUGAUCGGCCACACUGGGACUGAGACAUGGUCCAGACUCCUCCGGGAGUUAGCAUCAGGGAAUCUUGCGCAAUGGACGAAAGUCUGACGCAGCGACGCCCGCGUGAGGGAUGAAGGUCUGCGGAUCGUAAACCUCUGUAAGCAGGGACGAAUGCCCGACUUGGUCGGGAGUGACGGUACCUGCAAAGUAAGCUCCGGCUAACUACGUGCCAGCCGCGGC
This 500-nucleotide ribosomal RNA is filed under the name uncultured bacterium. RNAcentral's name for it is "bacterial SSU rRNA". It matches the Rfam family "Bacterial small subunit ribosomal RNA", at positions 26 to 518 of the family's 1533-position model. The record is from RNAcentral.